UAGGGAAUAUUGCACAAUCGACGAAAGUCUGAUGCAGCAACGCCGCGUGUGCGAUGAAGGCCUUCGGGUUGUAAAGCACUUUUCUGAGGGAAGAGAAAGGACGGUACCUCAGGAAUAAGUCUCGGCUAACUACGUGCCAGCAGCCGCGGUAAAAU
RNAcentral lists this ribosomal RNA (155 nucleotides) under uncultured bacterium. RNAcentral describes it as "partial 16S ribosomal RNA". It matches the Rfam family "Bacterial small subunit ribosomal RNA", at positions 355 to 526 of the family's 1533-position model. The record is from RNAcentral.